UGUUAUGUGUUGUCGUAUAUGUACAUGCGUGUAGGUAUAUGUGUAUAUCCACACACGUCUAUAUAUAGUUUAACAAUUUUUUUUUUUUUUUUUUGCAAUAUUUGCGUUUUUACUCUACCAUUGUGACAAUAGCCUCACGUUAGCCUAACGUACACAAUUUUUUCUGCAAAAAAAAAAAAAAAAAAAAAAAAAAGUUUAUAUACGCAACGCAAAAGGCAAACAUGUUAGCUAAAGAGGCGAUCCGAAAAAUUACACACUUAAAGUCGCAUAAAAAGAGUAAACGAAUAAAACCAACUAAUUGAUUAACUCAAUAGCUUACUAGCUCAAUAACUCAAUAACUCACUAAUCAGCUAACUAAAGAGACAUUAAAAAAAAAAAAAAAAAAAAAAAAAAAACGAGGACAACCUAAAUAAGUGCAUAACACGCAUAAUGUUAUACAACAAGCGCAUACUAAAAAUACUGUUUUUAUUUUUUCUAAAAGUAGAAAGUAAAGAAUGGUGCAAAGCUAAAUUUGAAUAUGGUAAGUCUGAUUAUGCAGAGUGUAUAGCUGAUGGAGGGGAUAAUAUAACAAAAUAUAUGAUCGAAACAAUACCUAUAGUUUCAAAGGGUGUCAAUUUGUAUAGCAAUGUAUCUAUAGUAUUGUCUAAUCAAUAUGGCAUGAAAACAAAAGAAAUUGUAAUUAGUAACCAAACAGAGGGUCCAUUAAAUAAAAUAUUUUCAAUGCGUAAUGACAUAGGUUAUCCUGAAUUUGUACAUGUAAAAUUAAACUCACCUAAUACUAAAUGGAGAUGUAAAAAGAUAACAAUCUGGAAAGACUAUAAAUAUUGGAUAUUUGAUUGUAUAGGUUCAUUAAAUGAAAAUUUGUCUGAAGCUACUUAUUUUUUAUCAGGUAACAAAUUAUAUACAGCUUAUGUUAAAACAGGAAAUGAUAUAGAUGCCGGUACAACUGGUAUGAUUGAAAUAAUAUUAUUAGGUAAGAAUAAAAGAAGUAACACAAAAAUAUUACAUGAAGGAUUUACUUCAGGUAAGCUUACAAAAAUUAUUUUUCAAGCAUCUGAUGUAGGACCAUUAGAAGAUAUUAUAUUGUCAAGCGAAAUUAUAAAUGAUCCUUGGUAUUGUGAUUUUGUAAAAAUAAAAACGAAUAACAAAAUGUAUGUAUUUAAUGUAAAAUCAUGGUUAGGAAGUCCAUAUGAAAAAAGUGUAAAAAUAAAUAUAAAAUCUAAUAAUGUUGAUGAAUCUGUGAAAGAUAUCGACUGUCAUAUAAGAGGUAAUGAUUUAAUAGAUACAGGAAAUUUACCUAAAUUGUUAGAAAAUAAAAUACAAAUAUUUAAAAUUAGAUGUCCACAAAAUUGUCAAAAUACAGAAUUUGCUUCUAUAGAAGGUUCAGGUAUACACCCAUCUUCUACUUCUAUUUGUGCUUCUUCUAUAUAUGAUGGCACAUUAAGCCCAAGUGGAGGUGAACUUAUAGUAACAGUAGGAAAUGAUAUAAAAAACUAUUAUGUUUACGAAAAAAAUUACAACGAAUUAAAUACAAUCGAAUUUAAUACCAAAGCAGAUGAAACCAAUUUUCUUUUUUAUACAUAUCAAUUAGAUUCAAUUGAUAAUAUAAAAAGUAAUGUCAGAAUAGUUGAUUCGUUUGGUAAGUUGUCAUCUUUAGGAAGAUUAGAAAUACGAAUUAAUAACAAAUGGGGUAGUAUAUGUAAAAAAGGAAUGAAUUUUACUUUUAGUGAUG
Piliocolobus tephrosceles (Ugandan red Colobus) is the source of this 1732-nucleotide long non-coding RNA. The record is from Ensembl. NCBI's taxonomy places the organism in Eukaryota, Metazoa, Chordata, Mammalia, Primates, Cercopithecidae.